GCAUCAGACUGCCCCUGUUGGAGGCGGUCACCCCUAUGGCCAUCUGCAAGACAGUCAGAUGAACAUCCUAUUUUUAACAGGAGUCAAUCAGCAACUUCCAGAUUAGGGUAAGCAUCCAGACAUCCCCUUAUUUUAGCUCUAAGGCCUGCGUGGACCUAUUUGCCAAGGUAACUUAACUGCAGACUUCACCUCAGAACUGUGUAAUCUAUAUAUUGCUUACAGACUGUGAUGUCCCAACCUCUUCUGAAGCCUGUCCCCUGAAUGUCCUUCCAAUGCACUUCUUGAUUCAGAGGAACAGACUGCUCUUUCAGACAAGUUUACGAUAUUAUGUAUGACUGCUGCACUUGAAUGGAUGUGUGCUUGGCACAAACUCCACUCAUACUUGUUUUUUCAAUAGGACAGUGGUGUAUCUACAAGACAGAUGGGUGGAUCCUGAGAAGGUGGAGUUUAAUACCAGUGUGUGUGAUGGAAUCUUGGCCCAUGCCAUGGUGAUUUUAGGCUGUUUUCAGCAGCAGGAGGCUGACUGACUGCGACUUAGAGGAUGCCACUGAGGCAGUUGUACUUUGGGAGCUCCCAUCAGCCACUAAGAAUAAG
Long non-coding RNA from Corapipo altera (White-ruffed manakin), 594 nucleotides. RefSeq lists it as uncharacterized. The record is from RefSeq and is a predicted model, not a curated record. The transcript is spliced from 3 exons. Lineage: Eukaryota; Metazoa; Chordata; Aves; Passeriformes; Pipridae.